This 403-nucleotide ribosomal RNA is filed under the name uncultured bacterium. RNAcentral's name for it is "partial 16S ribosomal RNA". It matches the Rfam family "Bacterial small subunit ribosomal RNA", at positions 30 to 526 of the family's 1533-position model. The record is from RNAcentral.
AUUGAACGCUGGCGGCAGGCCUAACACAUGCAAGUCGAGCGAGCGGCGGACGGGCGAGUAAUGUAUGGGGACUGCCCGAUAGAGGGGGAUAACUACUGGAAACGGUGGCUACUACUGCAUACUAUCGGAUAACCCAUAUGGGAUUAGCUAGUCGGUGGGGUAAAGGCUCACCUAGGCGACGAUCGCCAGCGGGUCUGAGAGGCUGAUCAGCCACACUGGGACUGAGACACGGCCCAGACUCCUACGGAGGCAGCAGUUGGGAAUAUUGGACAAUGGGCGAAAGCCUGAUGCAGCCAUGCCGCGUGUAUGAAGAAGGCCUUAGGGUUGUAAAGUACUUUCAGCGGGGAGGCGUUACCCGCAGAAGAAGCACCGGCUAACUCCGUGCCAGCAGCCGCGGUAAUUC